AAUCAACGCUGGCGGCGUGCCUCAGACAUGCAAGUCGAACGCGAAAGUUUCCUUCGGGAGAUGAGUAGAGUGGCGCACGGGUGAGUAACACGUGAGUAAUUUACCUUCGGGUGGGGAAGUACUAACCGGAAACGGUUGUUAAUACCGCAUAAUGCAGUGGCAUCAAUGAUGACAGUUGUUAAAGACGGGGGAGUUGGAGCAAUCCGACCUCGCGCCUGAAGAGAAGCUCGCGGCAGAUUAGCUAGUUGGUAAGGUAAUGG
This 260-nucleotide ribosomal RNA is filed under the name uncultured bacterium. RNAcentral describes it as "partial 16S ribosomal RNA". It matches the Rfam family "Bacterial small subunit ribosomal RNA", at positions 32 to 263 of the family's 1533-position model. The record is from RNAcentral.